GGGUUUAAAGAAAAGGUUUAUGGGUAUUUAUAGGAAGAAGAUGUUGAAACGUUUUAGAUGGUAAUGGUGUUAGUGGGACACGUGGCCAUUUCUGAUGGAAAUGAAAAAGAGGUAGAAGUUGAAAAGAAACCAUGACGUGAGGAAGUGAUGGAAGUAGGCUGUGAACGUGGGCUAGACGUGACAUUGUGGAGAAAGUGUAAUGAUGAAUCUGCAUUGGAAAUUGAGAUUAUCAGACUUGCAUUUAAUGAGGUUUAAAUGACAUGGCAUCAAAGCACUGAUUGACAACAAAUGACUGUUUCUCCAAGAACAAACAGUCGAAACGUCUUUG
Molecule: long non-coding RNA, 328 nt
Filed under: Lathyrus oleraceus (garden pea)
Lineage: Eukaryota; Viridiplantae; Streptophyta; Magnoliopsida; Fabales; Fabaceae
Description: Pisum sativum (pea) long non-coding RNA (PSAT_LNC019951)
Source: RNAcentral